This is a non-coding RNA of Schizosaccharomyces pombe (fission yeast), 1060 nucleotides long. The record is from the annotation of a GenBank genome assembly. NCBI's taxonomy places the organism in Eukaryota, Fungi, Ascomycota, Schizosaccharomycetes, Schizosaccharomycetales, Schizosaccharomycetaceae.
CCGUUGGCAUGGAUCCACAGUGCGGUAGGAAGGGUCAGACAUAAACACAAAGAAAUCUGCUCAUGUAAAUAAACAAUAAAUAAGAGAAUGAAUUGAACUUUUUUGUGAUUUUUAAUAGAUUCUUCACUCAAAUUCGAUGAACAGGAGAAAAAUUGAACGCAAAACGAAUGGAUUUAGCUUAAAAGAGUGUUACAAGUGUCCUAGUCUUAUUCCAGAUUAUCUAAGGAACUACAAAAACUCAUUUUUGCCUUUUCUUUCUUCAAAUUAUCUCUUCUUGAAGUGUUGAAGGCAUUUAAAAUGCACCACAAUUCGAGUCAACAAUGUUUGGAAAUUUGCAUUAAUGGCUAAAAAUCGCGGCUGAUCGUUAUUUCGGGUUAUUGAACGAUUAAUCGUGUUUAUUGCAUUUUGCGAGCAUGUUUAAGCAUAGUGCACGAUUUAUCACUCUCAUUACUGUCCAUCUUGGGUAUUUGUUUUGUUUACAUCUAGGAAGACUCCAGGUAGCAGCGGGGCCAAAUUUGUUACCUUGAUGUAACGAUGAGCAAUCCCCCGAAAAGAUCUGCCGGAAAAACCUUAAGAUGCGCUUUCGGGUGCGAAGAAGUUUCUAGAGAUCGCAGCAAAUGGCAUCAAAUUUGCUAAAGAUCUGUAAUCUUCUAUAAAGCAUUCUAGUGAAAUGUGCUAACAAAAAUAAUGCGCUCAACUCUAUUACAGUAAAUCACUCAAGUGCUUUCUCCAUCACAUGCUCCUAUGUUCAACCGCUGAGAUCGCAGCGGAUACUAGUACGUGGUCAAGCGGCUCUUCACAAAAUUUUAAACUCUAUUAAUGAAUUGUAAUAGAAUUUGUAUUCCACAGGUCUCCCAUGACAAGUCCCAACUUUGUGGUAAAUUAUUUUACAAGCAUAGUUGUAAAUACUAAUCUAUCACGUUUCCCUAUUACUCACAUAAUGAAUGAACAGCUCGCAGAGAAGCAUUCAGCGUGGCUUACAGCGUCCUUAAAAUGAUUAGGAGGCUUUGUCGAGAGCAUUAAACACAGAUAUCAAAAUUUAAACCUGGCUGCGCUAUUU